This 2765-nucleotide long non-coding RNA is filed under the name Malus domestica (apple). RNAcentral describes it as "long non-coding RNA (MDOM_LNC014707)". The record is from RNAcentral. Lineage: Eukaryota; Viridiplantae; Streptophyta; Magnoliopsida; Rosales; Rosaceae.
UAUUUAGAUCUCGUACAAAUACUCGGGGGACUUAAAUGUAAUUAUGUGAUAAAGGAAGGGGCAAAUAUGUAAUAAGUGAGCAGUCCUUAUUCUAUGAAAGGGCCUCAUUCUCACCCUCAGAGGCCAAUUCCUAAGGCUCUUCACCCCCUCUCAAAGCUCUCACUCUCAGAGCUCUCUCUCCCUCAGAUAAAUACAUAAUCAGUGUGGACGUAGCCCAAACCUUGGGGGUGAACCACGAUACAUCUUGUGUUAUUUACAUUUCUUGCAGAUUCACGGUCGGAUUUACGUUGUUCCAAGACCUCCGGUUUUGUACAUCAACACAGUUCAAGUCUAAAACCUAAUCAUGUCAUUGUGUAGCAUUCAGUCUGCAUUAUGUUAGAGAAAAUUCUAAAUUCAAAUCUAAGUUUAAUGAAAAUAAGAAACCGAAUCAUGAUAAACCUUUUUAACUUUCAGAAAAUCAAAAGAAAGAGACAAAGUCACUAUGAUAAACAACUAGAUCAAGACUCCCGACUAGCAUAUCUCUAAUGGUGGGCCGGGGAUACUGCCAACGAGUAUAACGUGCAUAAAAUGUCAAUAUGACCACAUGCAUGCAUGCAAGCAAAACAUAAAGUUAUGAACUUUACAAAACAAGUAGGCAUUGUUGAGUUAAAAAAGCAAAUUCAAUAGAUUCAUCAACACCAGAGUAUAGCGAAUAAAUAAACAUGUGAGCAUGGGUGAUUUACAUAUUUUAUUUUAUAAACAUGAAGAUGACAUCAUCACUAGUGUAGUUCUGAAUUUGUUAAACAAAAAACUUUAUAGACAAGAUAUAUGCUCAAUGUCACAUGCCAAUUAAACAAAGUUUCCAACACGUGGAAAGGAAAGAUAUAUAUGGAAACAAUAUUAUGAGGUUUAGGCUUUUCUAUAGUGCAAGUGUCCUUGUUUAUCAUUGGGUUGGAUCGGGUUUAGACUCGAGUUUCAGCUUCAAUAUUUGUUGCUAGGCUAGUUAGCCAAUUAAUUGUGAAUGUGGGCAUAUAUAGGUGAGUAUAUAUAGUACUAGAACUUUUUGUAAUUUCAAUAUCACAGAAUAAUUUUCGCAAUACGAGAAAAUACUAUUGCAUCUUUUGAGAAUAAGUUUGUUUUAGCUUGAACACAUUUAAAAUCAAAUCAUGAAAGAUUAAAUAGGUUGGACCGGGUUUAUAUUCGAGUUUUCAUAGGAAAGCUUAAUGCUAGGCUUAGUAACUAGCUAACUGCAAACAUGUAUAUAGUAGUAUAGUACUAUACUUUUCUCAUAAAUGUAUUCCAUUAUCACCCAAUAACUUUUCGUUGAUAUGGAGAAUAUUUGUUGCAUGUUUUGAACAUAUAUAGAUUGAUUGUUUCUAACUUGGACAUCUUUAAUCCCAAUUAAAAUUAAUGAGAAAUCCCCACUAAAUAUAAACACAAUCAAAGUACACCAAACAAUGAUCAUAUGGUAGAGUGCAUUAUUAGAAUUUAAGUAUUGAAGAUUAGGGAAUAACAAUGAUGUAAUAUUAAAUGAAAACAAAUCAGAAAUGAUAUCCAAGAUAGAUCAUAAGAGCACUGGGUAUGUUGGUUUUGUGAUUGAGGAGGAGACAAUGAGGACAAUUGCAUUAAUAUUGUGCUUCAUUUCCAAGUCAUGAGUAGGACCUUAAUAGAAUUUCUUACAAGCUUGCAGAUCUAAAUAGAGGUGAGAGGCCAAGUGUUGAAUUCUCUAGCAUUCCACGUGGGUCAGGACUCCGGAGCUCUCUUUGUAGCUUCCAAGGUCGUGAAUAUUUUUCUCAUCACUUUCAAGUGAUGGUAAUGCUUACUACCUUAUUUAUCAUCGUUGAAUGAGUUUAAAUUUCAAGAUUUGAAUAGUGGAUAAACAUAAAUCUUAAAAUUUAAACUCACUAAAUAAUAAUAAGUCAAUAGUGAUGCUCACUACUCUAUUUAUCAUCGUUGAAUGAGUUUAAAUUUCAAGAUCUGUAUACAAACACAACUCUCAAAAUUUAAACUUACUAAUAAUUAAGUAAGAUGAUGAGCAUUACCACCACUUAAAAAUGAUGAGCAAAAAUGCAUCCUCCCCAUAUUCCAAUAUUCCAUUUUUGCCCUAUAAAUUCAUAAUUAACCCUAAUUACACAAAUCCUUUAGACCCUCUUGCACUUUUGUAUUGCAUAUAAAGAUAUAAGAGAAUCUCCCACCCAGGCUUAAACAUUGAUUCAUGGGGUAUUUUAUAAAUCAAUUAGCUCACCAUUUGGCUACAAAUUAAAUUAUUGCUAGCAUACAUAAGAGAUCUAGGUACCUGCAAGGUUUUCUUUAACUACUCAAUCAUGCAGCUUAAUUUAAGGAUGGGGUCACCAGCAAAUUAAAGCAUUAUAUAUAAAUGCACAACCCUGCAUAAUCCACCAAUAAAACAAGUUGUUAGAAUGGCCUAUAUGUGAGUAGUUUUCGAUCCAUAUACAUGUGUUGGAUAAAUAUCAACAAUUAAUGAUAAAUUUAUAUAUGCUAAUAAAUAAUAAAUGUGAAUAAAUAAAUUAACAGAGUAUGAACAAAAUGAAGUAAUAUUAAACAGACAAAUUGAAGAUCAAGGCUUGCGUACCACAAUGUCCUUGAAACAGAAAUUUCGUCCCUACUUAGUGCUUGUAGUUCUACAGACGUUUGCUUCACCAGGAUUCAACGAUCUAAGUCAGAAUUCCAACGAUCUAAGUCAGAAUUCCAGCACCGGAAAAACUUGACUUCUGGCGAAUGUCUUUGUGGUUCUCUCAGUAAGAAUGUUUGGGAUUGUAGAUGAA